AUAGUGGCAAAAUCCAAUAAGUUUUUAGAUCUAAACAAGGCCUAAGAUGAGCUGAGCUUUUAGGGCUGGUUUAGUUAUGCCUUGUUUAGUUCAAAAAAGUAUCUAAAAAUUUUCAUGAUCUCCGUUAUAUUAAAUCUUACGGCAUAUGCAUAAAGUAUUAAAUAUAAAUAAAAAAUAACUAAUUAUAUAAUUUAUCAAUGAUUUGCAAGACAAAUUUUUUUAGCCUAGUUAAUGACAAUAUUUGUUAAAUACAAACUAAAAUGCAACCGUAUCUAUUUUAUCAAAAAAAUUAGAAUUAAACAAGACCCAAAAAGAGGGAUAGACACGAACUAUCUGAGCUGAGCUUUUAGGGCUGGUUUAGUUAGCGAUUUUUUGAUUUAGUUAUUAUAGCACUUUUACUUUCAUUUAUAUGUGAUAAUUAUUAUUUAAUUACAAAUUAAUCAUGUUUAAAAAAUUAUCUCGUAAAUUGUAAGUAAACUAUAUAAUUAAUUUUAUCAUUUAUAUUUAAUAUUAUAUAUAUAUGUUUAAAGAUUUGACGUGACAAGAAAUCUUGAAAAUUAUAGAACUGGCCUAACGUGGCCUAACGCGGUGAACUAGCCGAUGCGGGUCACACGCGACCGGAAGACUGGCAACCGGGCAGACAUGGAUUGGAAAGCCGUACAUAAACAGUACUCCUGUCCACAAAUAAGGGCACAUUUUGUUUUUUAAGAAGUUAAAUCUUUUUAAAUUUAACUAUAAAUAUAUUGAAUAAUAUCAACAUUUGUAUCUAUAAAUAAAUAUAUUAUAAAAGUAUAUUUUAUGCUCAACCUAAUGAUACCUAUUAUAUAUGAUAAAUAUUAAUAUAUUUUUUUAUAUAUUUGGUCAAAUUUAAAAAAUUUGACUCCUUAAAAAACAAGAUAUACAUUUAUUUGUGGACGGAGGAAGUAGGUAGCAGUAGGUAGGAUGGUUGUGAGCACGUAGAUUUAGGAGCUAUAUAAAUGACUUUGGUGAAAAUUUUUUGUUUUAGCAACAGUAGCACUUUCGUUUAUAUUUAGUAAUUAUUGUCCAAUUGUGAGUUAACUAGGGUUAAAAGAUUCGUCUCGCAAAUUACAUGACGGAGAAUUUUGAAAUUUUGCAAAAUUUUUCAGGAACUAAACAGCCCCGAAGUUUCAUAUAAUUUGUUUGUGACUUUCUAAGCAUAUGAUAGAAUAUUUAGCACAUGAUUUGGAGCUUAUUCUUUUGUUCAGAACAAUUUUUGUUUGGGGAAAUAUCAAAAUGCAGGUGUUUUUUUUGGCAAAGUCAAAAUGUAGGUGUUAAUGUCUCUUUUUACUAGGUAAAUGUCCGGGUGCUGCAACCUAUGGGAGUGAUUGUAGGAAGCCGAGUGGACAUCACACAUGGGGAGUGCCAGAUGGACAAUAUGUUUUAUAGAUAUAGAUUUUAGGAAGAUUAGCAAUAUAUGCCCCGAGCAUUGUGCUUAAGGUAGAGGAUUUCUCAUUUGUCAUGGAUUCGUCCGAAAUGAAAGCACGAAAGUUUUUUUAUCCCGUUGCAACGCACGGGUAUAUUUGUUGGUAAAAACUAAAUUACUGAAACAUAAAAAUCGAACUAAAAAUGGUAACUUAAAAAUUAAACAAAAAUUGAAAAAUAGAAACAGAAAACUAAAAUAGACACAAUAAAAAAACUGAAACAUAAAAUAUAUAAAAAAAAUUCAAAAUAAGAAAAAAAUAAAAAAUAGAUUAAAAGGAACAUAGGAAUUGAAAAAAUGAAAAUCAAAACUCAUAAAACUGAAUAAAUCAAACGCAUAACUCAAUAAACUAAAACUAGAGAAAACUACAAGCUGCAUGAUCUUGUGUGUGGCAAGUUAAAUUUCAAGUAUGUAGCAAGUUAUAUUUUGAACAAGUGACAAGUUAUUUUCAUUACCACUACAUAAAAUACAUAAGUAGCUACUACACAUACAAAGUAAGUUAACACUAUGUAAAAUAAAUUCCAAAAAAUACUCCCUCCGUUCCACAAAUAUCACAUUUCUUUGACUUCUAUGAUUUAUGUUUGAUCGUUCGUCUUAUUUAAAAAAACUUAAUAAACAUUAUUUAUUAUUUCAUGACUUAUUUUAUUGUUAGAUAUAUUUUUAUAAUAAUUUAUUUAUUUUAUUAUUUGCACAAAAAUUUAAAUAAGACAAAUGGUCAAAUAUUGAUCGUAUUGGUCAAAGAAAUGUAUUUAUUUGGGAGACGAAGGGAGUAUGCAUUAUGGGUCUUUGCUUGCGUGCGUGUUUAGGCCAAUCUGUAACGACUACGGGCCCAAGCACGACUGACAGCCCACUUACAACACAGUGGAUCAAGCCUGUGAAUCGUUUGGACGUUGGACCUGAAAGCUGGAUCGUAUUGGGCUGAGCCUAAAAGUUCGUAAGGAAAACGACUAAGAAUUUUAUUUUUUUAGGGGCAAGAACGACUAAGAUGUCAAAUCUAGACAACCAUAACCUCUCUGUCAUACUUUCUUCUAUCUGGAGAGCUCUUCAUUCUGGAUGCUUCUAGAACCUUCCUGACCCAAGUUAUCAUCUCUGCCUCAUAGCCGUCGCUGCACUAGACAACUUCACUUUUAUUGUUUUUAUAAGUGUGCCAUCCAUGUUAGACAAUAACAUUUGAUUGAUGUUUAAAAGAAUUUAUUUUUUGCGAGCUCACAUACAUUUAUGCACCUCGUGACUUUUAUUGUUUAUCAUUUCAUAGGCUUGCAUUGUUUUUUUAAAAAAAUAAAAACUUGUAAACAGUGUCCAUGGAGUUUCAUCUAGACUGAGCUAAUUCCAUGUCUCUUGUUUGAGAAUUUACUAUGUUAUCAAAUCUGCAUAUGUGGAAGUCUGUUAAAUGAGAAUGAUUUUUUCACUAAAAUUGGCCUUAGAUUGCUCUAAAGCUGAAUUAUGUGAUCUAGCUAGCCUGGACUUUAUCUUUUAUCAACGUACAUAGUUGCAUACAGAACUCUUUUCUCCCCGUUGUACAUGUGCAGGACUCUGCAAAAUAGGACAGAGGACAACCACAAUCAACAAGUUGGAGUGAUAACUGAUACGGAACGUGGAUUUUUUCCACUGCGUUGCCUUGCCUUAAUUAACCGAACCAAACAGAUGAGUGAACAGUUCAGUGUGGCGUUUACUGUUUUUACAAUGAUGCAUAAACUUCAACCAAACAGAUGAACAAACAGUUCAGUCUGACUGCUGGACAUGGAAACGUUAAGUCCAUGCGCAGAGAGUUUGAUCUG
This 3219-nucleotide long non-coding RNA is filed under the name Sorghum bicolor (sorghum). Its description in RNAcentral is "long non-coding RNA (SBIC_LNC007752)". The record is from RNAcentral. Lineage: Eukaryota; Viridiplantae; Streptophyta; Magnoliopsida; Poales; Poaceae.